Molecule: ribosomal RNA, 429 nt
Filed under: Bacillota bacterium
Lineage: Bacteria; Bacillati; Bacillota
Description: Firmicutes bacterium partial 16S ribosomal RNA
Rfam family: Bacterial small subunit ribosomal RNA
Source: RNAcentral
UAGGGAAUCUUCGGCAAUGGACGGAAGUCUGACCGAGCAACGCCGCGUGAGUGAAGAAGGUUUUCGGAUCGUAAAGCUCUGUUGUUAGAGAAGAACGUUGGUAGGAGUGGAAAAUCUACCAAGUGACGGUAACUAACCAGAAAGGGACGGCUAACUACGUGCCAGCAGCCGCGGUAAUACGUAGGUCCCGAGCGUUGUCCGGACUUAUUGGGCGUAAAGCGUGCGCAGGCGGUUCUUUAAGUCAGAAGUUAAAGGCAGUGGCUUAACCAUUGUACGCUUUGGAAACUGGAGGACUUGAGUGCAGAAGAGGAGAGUGGAAUUCAAUGUGUAGCGGUGAAAUGCGUAGAUAUAUGGAGGAACACCGGUGGCGAAAGCGGCUCUCUGGUCUGUUACUGACGCUGAGGCUCGAAAGCGUGGGGAGCAAACAGG